CAAACCGAUCGUUUCGUUUCUUAGGAUAUCAAUGUGUCGUCACGAGCGGCAGGGUUUAAUUUGGAUUUGUCUGUGCAUGUUUUUACUGUCUGAGAUUUUGUUACUAUUCACAUGCAUACAGACUGAAACGGUUGGAGUUUCUACAUUUGUGUUGUACUGAAGAAACAAAAUCACAUACAUCUUGGAUGGCCUCGGGGUAAGCUGAUAAAUAUAAAAAAUUCAUUUUAAGAUGAAUCCCGUACGUUGGCGGCUGUUUUAAACUGGGUGCUCGGCUCAGACCCUUUUGCCAGUAUGAAGCCGUUUUCAACGGUAACUGCAGAAAGCAUCCAUCAGCACGCUCAGCUCAUCACUGGAGUAACGUCUGUAAAACGGGUGAGAUAAAACUCAACGCCUGACUGAAUCAUCCAUUCCCUUUUCGAUCCUACGCCAUACGUUAAACUUGAGCACACCCCACCCUUACAUGGCACACAAGUAUAUGACACACAACACAGGUCUUCUCAGGAGGCUGUGCCUACAGCAAUAGGCUUUAUGCCCAGCUGCACUACUUCCUGAACUUCAGCCAGUUCCUUGUUUCCUGUCUGCCAUUAUUGGACAAACUGAUUAAUCCAGGUGUGCCUGAGCUUAGUAGUCAC
Paramisgurnus dabryanus is the source of this 632-nucleotide non-coding RNA. The record is from RefSeq and is a predicted model, not a curated record. NCBI's taxonomy places the organism in Eukaryota, Metazoa, Chordata, Actinopteri, Cypriniformes, Cobitidae.